GUUAAUGUAGCUUAAACAUUUAUUAAAGCAAGACACUGAAAAUGUCUAGAUGGGUCCAACCGACCCCAUUGACA
RNAcentral lists this transfer RNA (74 nucleotides) under Eschrichtius robustus (grey whale). RNAcentral describes it as "tRNA-Phe". The record is from RNAcentral. Lineage: Eukaryota; Metazoa; Chordata; Mammalia; Artiodactyla; Eschrichtiidae.